GAGUCCAGGGGAUGGGGCAGGUGGGGGGCCUGUGGGCUGUGGAGCUUUGUUCAUUUCAUUUGGUGCCACAUCAGGGUCCCCCCAGCACCUGUUGGGAAAGAGUGGAGCUCGGAAAGGAGAAGGGACCCAAGCUUAAGGCAAAUGGAGUGGGGGGAGGGGGUGAAGCAAGGGCCGGGUUCCACACCGAGUCCCGGAGGCGCGAAGGGGUUGAAAGAGCAGAAAAGAUCCAGCUCAUGUCCCCACCAACACGUUGUCAAACCAGAAUCACCUCCAACCACCCCCCUGAUCUGCUGAAACAGCCCCCUCACUCACCCCCUCGGUUAAGAAUAAGUCCACGGUGCGGCCUACAGGUUCUGGGCAUCCGAGGGCCUGGGGUUGGGAGGUGAGGGGUAUCAACCUGGCUCCGCGGGGCCCAAGACCAACCAGACCGGAAAUUCCAGGUCUCGCUGGCACCAGGCUCCCGGAUCACAAACGGAGCUAGCAGCUUCGGCCGUGGUGUCCCCACCCCCCACCUGGGGACACCGGGUUCGGGGCCAGGCCCAGGGGCACACAAGGCACGCCUGCUGCGGGUGGCCGCAGGGGCACCCGCGCGGGGCCAGACGCGAGGCCUGCCGCCGCCCAGGAGUGGAGACCAGGAAGGGCGGGAGUCGGGCCGUAAAAGGCCAGGCGGGCGGCGGCCGAAGAGAAGCCGGUUUCUAAUCCCGCUCGGCGGCCACCGCUUCUCCGCAGGCGCAGCCGGCGCCCCCACGUGACCGGCGCAGAGGGAGGAGCUACGCCCGGCGCCGCGGAGCACAGAAGAUUUGCCCCGCCUGGUCAUGUGACAGUCACUGCCCGCCCCCGUGUCCCCUCCCGAACUUUGGAACUUCCAGACUGACCCCCAUCUGCGUCUCCGUUCCGCGGUUCUUUAGUUCAUUCAUACUUAGAGCAUUUAUUGAGUGCAUACUAAGUACGAGGCGAAGUGCUGGCCAGGGGCUGAGAGUAGCGAAGUUCAUUAAAGACUCAGUCCUGCCUAAAUAAAUCAUGAUACAAAUAGGAAAAUAAAAAUUAUGCAACCUUUGAAGAUAAGGUGAUUGAAAUACUUAUUAAACUGAAUGUUAGGCCAGAAAGAUUGAAACAUUCUAAGAAAUUAGUAUGAGUAGAUUUGCCUCCCAAAGAUCAGCCACUCCCAGGGAGGGACAAAAGUCAAUCAUGGAAAGUUCAGAAUAAUGAGGAAAGAAGUAAUCCCAAAACCCCUUCCCUGCAGCCAAAAGACUUGGCACCAGGAGGAACCGUCCUAGAGCCAAAUACACGUACUCAGAUGGCCUGGGUUUUAAUCCAAACUCUGCUGCUUCCUGGCCAUGUACCUACUACCCACCUACUUAAUAACUGUUGUAAAAAUGGGAAGAUUUGAAACCAGGCAGUCUGACUCAAAUCUAAACUUUUAACCACCCUGCUUUCUUUACCAAUGACAACAUCCACUCACUCUAUUGGAUUGUGAAGAUUAAAGGAGUUAAUUCAUGUGAAAGGGCUUCAGUGCCUAUGUACCUAGCAAAGACACACUUGCUCUCACUCACCCACGUGUGAUCUGUGGGUGUAGGUGUGUGUAUGUGUACACAUGUAACCUCAGAAGGUAAGAAAAAAUUUUCUCUGUACCAAGGAUAGAGUGGUGGUUCAAUAUAUAUGGCCUAUCUGAUCUCAAUCUUCACAAUUUCCUAUAAAACAGAUUGUAUUAUUCUUCCCAUUGUAUAUGAGGAACUAAAGCUCCAAAGCAGCAAAGUAGACAGACACAUGGCAGAGGAACUAUAGUGAGAGUGAAUACGUAGAUCUAGUGUUCUCUGACUCGAUCAUGUAUGACCCCUUCCUCUACUCUUCUCAUUUCUCUUCCUCCCUAAGCCAACUAAUAAAUAAAAUUCAAUUCCUACCUA
Felis catus (domestic cat) is the source of this 1904-nucleotide long non-coding RNA. RefSeq lists it as uncharacterized. NCBI's taxonomy places the organism in Eukaryota, Metazoa, Chordata, Mammalia, Carnivora, Felidae. The record is from RefSeq and is a predicted model, not a curated record. The transcript has 2 exons.